Molecule: long non-coding RNA, 1758 nt
Filed under: Homo sapiens (human)
Lineage: Eukaryota; Metazoa; Chordata; Mammalia; Primates; Hominidae
Description: long non-coding RNA NONHSAT190763.1
Source: RNAcentral
CACUGCUGGAUCUGCUGUGUGGACUUGACCCUGACCAGGGAGCUCCAAAAACCGGUGAUGAUAACAUGAUGUAAUUGAGAGUGAAAGGAAGGCAACUGAGAGGAUAAGAGAACGUAAACAAGAGGUCACCACCAACAAAGACAGACCAAAUCUGAAUAAAAGCCAUCAUAAUGUAUGUUUGGCCAAGAGAUUGUGAUGUGGUUUCCUUAACCCAAUUGAAAACAUAGCUCCUAGAUGCAUUUUAAAAAAAGGCCAUGGGAAACGGAGACUGAGAAUUUUUGCUGAAAUAAAGAAAUCCUUAGAUUUGUGCUUCAAGAAGUGUAAUCUGCCAGUGAAGCAUGAAAAGUAUCACAGAAACAGAGAAUGGAGGCAGAGAGACAAACGUAAUGGUUCUGCCUCUAUUUCAAACAGAAUAUUAAGGCCUUAAGGAUGGUGGAAAUAAAAAUGAAGAGAUGAAAAGAAAUGGCAAUAGAGAACUGGAGAUCCUUAAACACUUUUAAAGAAAGAAGGCAUGUGCCCUAUCUUAACUGUUGGAAAAGUAAGUCAUGCAUGUAUAUAGUAUAGUUGGGAGGAAGGUAAUGCCAGCAAAAAAUAAGAGUAGACUAUGAGAGAAUUCCAUUUAAUUGAUGAUAGGUGUCUAAAGUAGAACAGAAUAGAGCCACAGAAGUAGAAGGAAUUGGUGGAUGUUGAAACAUUGCUAAUGAGACUAGAAAAAGACUUUUCAGAAGAUGGGCAUAGGACUGAUAAAUGCAGCUGGCAAAAGUCUACCACAUUUGGGCUUUGUAUAGCAAGGACAUCAGAAGAACAGCAUCGUCAGAAGGGAGGGUUACGGCACUAAAGAACCUUCAUGAAGCUAGGUCUCCAGAUUAAUCUACUGUCAGAUACUCGAGUCUUCAAGGUGAGAACAAGAGUUUGAGUGGAGAGGACCUGGUGAAAUGGGAGCAAAAGACUUUGACAGGGCUGAAACCUGCAGCAUGCAAUACUGAGAGGUGAAGGCAGCUGGACUUCCUGGGAACAAACAACUCCAGAGGCACCACCAUUAAGAGCUGUUAACACUCACUGCGAAGGUCUCCGGCUUCACUCCUGAAGUCAGUGAGACCUCGAACCCACCCGAAGGAAGAAACUCCAGACAGAUCUGAACAUCUGAAGGAAUAAACUCCGGACACACCAUCUUUAAGAACUGUAACACUCACCGCGAGGGGCCGCAGCUGCGUUCUUGAAGUCAGCGAGACCAAGAGCCCACUGGAAGGAACCAAUUCCGGACACAGCCCUGGAGUGAUAGGGCAGCAGAAUAUCUACUCUGAACUAAGAGCAUAACAAAGGAGGUGGAAGAGGCGCCAGGAUAGCUCCCAUAUUUGGAGUGUUAUCAUUCAAGUACACACUGGCACCAGGGUCCCUGAGGCUUGCUCAUUGAGGUUGUCAACACUGCAAGAAGGAGUUUUUGUGGCAGAACAGACAUUGAUUGGAGAUGCUGGCAAGGCAGGGUGAAGCCAAGAGACCAGAAGAUGAUGGUCAUUGAAAAGAGAUUUUGUUACAGUUCAAGAGAAGCAAGCACAACAUGCCAUGCCUUCAUCUUCUGCUAUGAUUGUUUUCCCUGGACUGCACUUGAAACAACAAGAGAUUAGGACGCAGACAACACAGACUUAAGAGGAAAAUCUUCAUAUCCACCAUUCCUGGGAACACUUGAAUAACAAUGUUUGAAUGAGGUUGUGAAGAUACAGAGAGAAAACGUCUGUCUAUGUGGAAGGAGGUCCUCUC